AUACGGAGGGUGCGAGCGUUAAUCGGAAUUACUGGGCAUAAAGAGCGCGUAGGCGGUCCGCUCAGUCAGGUGUGAAAUCCCCCGGCUCAACCGGGGAACUGCAUCUGAUACUGGCGGGCUCGAGGACGGUAGGGGUGAGCGGAACUCCAGGUGGAGCGGUGAAAUGCGUAGAUAUCUGGAGGAACACCGGUGGCGAAAGCGGCUCACUGGGUCUCUUCUGACGCUGAGACACGAAAGCUAGGGUAGCGAACGGGAUUAGAAACCCCGGUAGUCC
RNAcentral lists this ribosomal RNA (274 nucleotides) under uncultured bacterium. RNAcentral's name for it is "partial 16S ribosomal RNA". It matches the Rfam family "Bacterial small subunit ribosomal RNA", at positions 523 to 796 of the family's 1533-position model. The record is from RNAcentral.